CCGAAGCAUUAUGCGGGUCCGUGCUCUCUGCAACAACUGAAGGCUCUUGCACCGUGGACUGCUGGCCUUAGUGCCUUCUUGCUCCUCUCUCUCUCUCUCUCUCUCUCAUCUUCUCUGGUGGAAAGCUUCCGAUGUCCGUGGAAUGCGAAAGGGUGAUAAUAGGAAACUUGUUGCAGGAUCGCCGUAUCCCUGUUAGUUAAUAAGAGUUUUUGCAUAUGGAACUUCUCGGUCGUGAACUUGUUAACUAGUAUUUAGUGUAAUUGUCGUGGUUACCAUAUCCCUUUGCCCCCAUUUUCUAUGUUUUGGACAAAAGGCAUCAACCAAAAUUUAUGUGUCAGGAAAGAUGUCUGGCAUCAUCUACAUUGUUUCAAGCUGCCACGGCCAUCCAGAAUUCCUCACUUUCUGUUUUGCCAUUCAUCGUUUUCCCUCUCUAUUAUUGCUGUUUCCAUAGUUUUUCUUAUCCUCCGGACCACCUUUAGCCCCAGAGCCAAAGCCCUACUCACUGUUACACAGCUCCAUCUUGCACUCAAAUUGCUACGCAAGCUUCAACGACCCUUUUGAAGAAGCGACUGGGGAAGCACUGACGUGAUCCACUGGCUCAAAUUACCAGCCAAGAGCGGUUGAAGUGACCGAACAUUCCAAGCCCAGGGCUCCGUCAAUUAAGUGAUGGGGCUAUGAUCGAAGAAGGUGUUGAUGUUAUUUAUGUAAUGGGGGUUUGGGAUUUUCCCACAAAGAGCAUUUGGGAAAUAUAUAAAAGUAAAAAUUCAUUCUCUUGAUGGUUCCCUUCGAGAAUCUCGCCACCCCAUGGGGGAAAUACUUAGUAGCAUUCUGAAGAACAAUUCUUGAAGGUGGUUUCGUGAUUUCUGAUUGUGUUCCCUGUAAACUAGGAAUCCCCAUAAAAAGACAUGUAUAUCAAUUACUUAAUUACUUAUGAAUCAUAUAUUUUGUAGGGGGCCACAGCCAUCCCUCCUUAUUCGCCGCCGUGGCCCUUAUUGCCACUGCCUCCAUCAAUGGCCUCUUCCAAAGGCAAUGAAGAAUCUUCCCCACUGCCACCUCCGCCACAAGAUUCACCUAGGGGAAAUGUUUCUCUCCAGAAUAGACAUCCUUGUCUGGCAUGAAUGAGGAAUUCUGGGUGUUCCCCAAAUACAUCUCUAAUCCUCUCAAAAAAACCAUGUGGAUUAGUCUCUCCUGGUCUGAGGUAAAUUUGUUCAUUCCUAUCCAAACAUGUUGCAAUAUAUAGCCAUCUUUGUAUCUAUUCUUCAAUAUAGUUCCAUCAACAACUACAAUAAGUGAUAUUUCAGAAAACCCUUUGAUGUAUGCUCCAAUGAUCAUGAAAAAUUAUAAGAAUUUGUUACUGUCUCGUGGUUUCAAUAAGUUCCCUUGGUACUUGUCAGGGCAAUUUCUCUGGCCAUCUAAGCCUUCACAUAACCUAUGUUCUUUUUUUUUUUUUUUUUUUUUUCCUUCCAAUUUCCGUACUGCAACCAAACAUCAUGCAUGGUUUCCUUUGUUUUGUACUAACUUGUAAUCUAGCGUACUUUAACUUGAUAAUAUCUUCAAUAGUGUAACUAGUUGUUGGUCAAUAAUCAGGAUAAAUAAUAAAGAAAGCAAGUAUAAUUCUAUUGAAAUCUUUUAACGACAAAGAAAUCUGAAAAUGCAAGUAGUUGUCAUUUGUAAUUACCAGUCACCCAUCCAACCUUGUAAUGCAUGCAGUCUGACUUCGUUACCCUAAACUCAAAAUUUUUCUUCAUUGCAUGAAUUUGUCCUAUUUCAAUCACUUCACUAAUGUUUACUAAUAAUUUGUGCAUGGUGAUUGUUGGUGUUGAGGUGGCAGUGCAUAAGAAGUAGGAAUACUAGGCAUAGGCCUAAAAAACAUUAGUUUUUCCUCAGUAGGACUAUUUAAGAUGGCCCACCCGUUUUGUCACCAAACAUGAUACUGGACCUAAUAAAUCCAGUCUAAUGAGUUAUCCAGUGCAUCAAACAUACCUUUAAGCCAUGAUUGGGACAGAGGACCGUUUAGAAUUAGACCAAGAAUAAUCCCAACCAAGUGUUUGGUGACACAAUCCACAUGACAAGAGAUCUAGGAUUUGUGAGUGGUCUAGAAUCUUAGGGGUAAUCUAAUAAACAGCCAGCAUAGUCCCGUUCUAUGGGACAAGCUAGAGUAUUUCACAUACCGUUUGAAAGUCUAAUAUUUAUUUAAUUUUGUAAUGUUUUAUAAAAUCAAAAAUUUUAAAAUAUAUGGAGAUUGUGGAUGCUAUAUUCUAUAUAUGGAUACUAAAAAAUAUGGAAAAAAAAUGAAGUAUGAAAAAUAUAAAUCAUUGGUAGUAAAAAAAAAUAAAAAAAUAAAUGUAUAUAUAUUAAAAGAAACCCCAAAAUGUUUUGAUACUUAUCAUAAAUGUUUAAUAGUUAUGUUAUUUAAAAAAAAUACUACUUAAAGCAUUACUGUAAAUAAUAGUUGACUAUAAUCCUGCAUUUAGUACUAAACAAAUCCCAAUAAGAAUUUUGUAUGAGAUGCCACUUUGAUUGUGAGUGAACUUGGUAAUGGGAUCCAGUUUCCAUUUGGAUCAAUGUCUGUGAAUGUUCUCUCUUUAUAUUAGACCUUUUUCUUGAUGUUUGAUUAUUUCAUUCUAGUAUACAUCCUAUAUGAAGUGUAUGUUCAGCUUGUCCACUUGGAUAUGUGUAGUUUUAAAGCAUAGAAUGGGUUGAAAAGCCGGUACAGUUUGUAUUAACUCGAAGGAAAUGGUAACAUUUCUCAACUGCUUGGCUCGUAAUCAGAACAACUAUGGCAAGUUCAUGCGACAUGAAGAUCUGUUGAGUGCUUGCAUGGAUGCACGGUUAAACUUUUAGAUCUGCUUUUCUGGAAUCUGCUUCUUAUCUUUUUCUUCCCUUACACUUGUAAAUUUGUUUGGUGGUUUUAGUUUAUUAAAUGUUGUUUUAAGACUAUCCCUAAAGCUUGUGACUGCUUUGCAGUGUAGACCAACAAAAGGGUAGCAUUUAUUACCACCUGCAAAUGCUAAGCAGAGGAAGAAAGUAAAUUAAGGUUUUGUAGAAAACAUUUUUUAAGCUUUAAUGCAUUUAUUAAUUCUUUGGAUCAUCAUUAUGAAGGGCUUGCUUAGCAAGGAUAGUCAUUGUAUUCCACCGCUGAAAUUUAAGCAGGGAAGCAGAAGCAAGAGGUCUUCAAAUUCACUUUUGUGUAAUAAAGGUUCUCGGCACAUGUUGUUUUUCAUUUUGAAGAGAAAAAUGUUUUGGAUAUUUGUGGAACAAAUUUAUUGGAAGUUUCAUUUAGGAAAACCAGACUCUACCCUCUGUUGAUAGAAUGCAAGCUACGCUCUGUUGGUAGAAUGCAAGCCUUCUAAAAAUCUGUCUUACUUCUAAUAUCGUCUUUGUAGAAUACAGAAGAUAAUAAGGCCAACGUGAUUUUUAUAUUUUUAUCUUUU
Molecule: long non-coding RNA, 3434 nt
Organism: Ziziphus jujuba (common jujube)
Lineage: Eukaryota; Viridiplantae; Streptophyta; Magnoliopsida; Rosales; Rhamnaceae
Exons: 3
Source: RefSeq, a predicted model, not a curated record